This 377-nucleotide ribosomal RNA is filed under the name uncultured eukaryote. Its description in RNAcentral is "partial 18S ribosomal RNA". It matches the Rfam family "Eukaryotic small subunit ribosomal RNA", at positions 592 to 976 of the family's 1831-position model. The record is from RNAcentral.
CAAUAGCGUAUAUUAAAGUUGUUGCAGUUAAAAAGCUCGUAGUUGGAUUUCGGGGCAGCCUGGCUGGUCCGCCGCAAGGCGAGGACUGGUCAGCCGCCCUUCCUCUCGAAAGCCCCGACUGCUCUUUAUUGCAGUGGUCGGGUAGUUCGGGACGUUUACUUUGAAAAAAUUAGAGUGUUCAAGGCAGGCCUACGCCUGAAUACAUUAGCAUGGAAUAAUGGAAGAGGACCUCGGUCCUAUUUUGUUGGUUUCCAGGACCGAAGUAAUGAUUAAGAGGGACAGUUGGGGGCAUUCGUAUUUAAUUGUCAGAGGUGAAAUUCUCGGAUUUAUGAAAGACGAACAACUGCGAAAGCAUUUGCCAAGGAUGUUUUCAUUAA